CCUAAGGUAGCGAAAUUCCUUGUCGGGUAAGUUCCGACCUGCACGAAUGGCGUAACGAUCUCCACACUGUCUCGGCCAGAGACUCGGUGAAAUUGCAGUCGCGGUGAAAAUUCCGUGUACCCGCAGAAAGACGGAAAGACCCUGUGCACCUUUACUAUAGCUUGACAUUGGAUUUUGGGCCUGCAUGUGUAGGAUAGGUGGGAGGCUGUGAACCCUGUACGCCAGUAUGGGGGGAGCCAUCCUUGAAAUACCACCCUUGCAUGUUUAAGAUCCUAACUUCUUCCGGUUAUCCCGGAGAAAGACAGUGUCUGGCGGGUAGUUUGACUGGGGCGGUCGCCUCCUAAAGUGUAACGGAGGCAUGCAAAGGUUCCCUCAGCCUGAUCGGAAACCAGGCGCUGAGUGCAAACGCAUAAGGGAGCUUGACUGUAAGAGAGACAUCUCGAACAGGAACGAAAGUUGGCGUUAGUGAUCCGGUGGUCCCGAAUGGAAGGGCCAUCGCUCAUUGGAUAAAAGGUACGCCGGGGAUAACAGGCUGAUCGCAUCCAAGAGUUCACAUCGACGAUGCGGUUUGGCACCUCGAUGUCGGCUCAUCACAUCCUGGGGCUGAAGCAGGUCCCAAGGGUACGGCUGUUCGCCGUUUAAAGUGGUACGCGAGCUGGGUUUAAAACGUCGUGAGACAGUUUGGUCCCUAUCUUCUGUGGGCGAAGGAGAAUUGAGAGGGCCUGUCCCUAGUACGAGAGGACCGGGAUGGACGCACCCCUGGUGAUCCUGUUGUCGCGCCAGCGGCAUAGCAGGGUAGCUAUGUGCGGAAGGGAUAACCGCUGAAAGCAUCUAAGCGGGAAGCCUGCCUCAAGAUAAGUUCUCCCCUCGAAAGAGCUGAAGGGCCCGGGUAGACUACCCGGUCGAUAGGCUGGAGGUGUAAGCGCGGCGACGUGCUCAGCUGACCAGUACUAAUAGCCCGAGCGGCUUAUUUUU
RNAcentral lists this ribosomal RNA (975 nucleotides) under metagenome. Its description in RNAcentral is "bacterial LSU rRNA". It matches the Rfam family "Bacterial large subunit ribosomal RNA", at positions 1950 to 2925 of the family's 2925-position model. RNAcentral also lists the same sequence under 1 other name. The record is from RNAcentral.